This is a regulatory RNA element of Roseburia sp. CAG:197, 91 nucleotides long. It matches the Rfam family "c-di-GMP-I riboswitch aptamer". Rfam says of the family: GEMM was predicted in a large-scale screen for bacterial structured RNA regulatory elements. Genes associated with GEMM are involved in a diverse array of functions, including chemotaxis regulation, signal transduction, secretion and chitin. The record is from Rfam. Lineage: Bacteria; Bacillati; Bacillota; Clostridia; Lachnospirales; Lachnospiraceae.
AAAUUUCAAAGGCAAAGUUGCAGAAAUGUAAUGGCGCAAAGCUAGAAGUCUACGGUACAAUUUAUGUUACUAAGAUAGUUCGGUUGCAAUG